This 288-nucleotide small nuclear RNA is filed under the name Pogona vitticeps (central bearded dragon). RNAcentral's name for it is "7SK RNA (ENSPVIG00000000484.1)". It matches the Rfam family "7SK RNA". From Rfam's summary of the family: 7SK was discovered as an abundant small nuclear RNA in the mid-70s but a possible function has only recently been suggested. Two independent studies have found that 7SK RNA binds the CDK9/cyclin T complex (known as elongation factor P-TEFb). P-TEFb activates transcription by phosphorylating the C-terminal domain of RNA polymerase II. Lineage: Eukaryota; Metazoa; Chordata; Lepidosauria; Squamata; Agamidae. The record is from Rfam by way of RNAcentral.
AGAUGUGAGGGCGAUCUGGCUGCGACAUCAGUCACCCCAUUGAUCGCCAGGGUUGAUUUGGCUGAUCUGGCUGGCUAGGCGGGUGUCCACUUCCUCCCUCACCGCUCCAUGUGCGUCCCUCCCGAAGCUGCACGCUCAGUGGAGGAGGAAGACCAUCCCAGAUAGAAGGAGUGUACCGUUCUUCGGUCAAGGGUAUACGAUAGCUGCGCUCCCCACUCAGAUGUCAAGUUUUCCCAUCUUUUGAGGCCCAUUCCUAAAGCAUUCAGAUCCCGCUUGCAGAUGUCCUUG